This is a long non-coding RNA of Trifolium pratense (red clover), 1197 nucleotides long. RefSeq lists it as uncharacterized. Lineage: Eukaryota; Viridiplantae; Streptophyta; Magnoliopsida; Fabales; Fabaceae. The record is from RefSeq and is a predicted model, not a curated record. The transcript has 2 exons.
GCUACGGAAGCAAUUUUCAUUGAUUGAUUAAGCAAAGUAGUUACAAGCACAUUUAUAUAGGUGAAGGUAGUUCUAACAAACUGCUAACAAACUUCUAACAAACUAUAAGCUAGACUACUCUACAUAUGGUGUACACUAAGUAAAGAUACACAAGCACUAGGAAAGAUAGCUAAUGUAUCAAGUAACUUGUAAAGUGUAAUAAAUCUUAUCACAAAUUCACAAACAAUAUAAAAAGUUUUGUGGCGGAAUUUAUGCCCUCACAAUUAGUGUGUCAAAUGUAAAAUUCUCUGACAAAUGUUUGUGAGGCUCGUUUCUGUUAAGUUUUCCACUAAUAGGUUUGUAACUCAAUUAUAUUAUAUUGUGAUGGAAAUGUACCCUCUCUAAAUCAAUCUUUUAUAGUUAUUGUCAAAGUGUUCUUUCAAUCUGGUUUCGUGUUUUUGUCAUUUGUUGUUGCUAGUUUAUAUAGACUCAAAGUAACGCUUUUGAACAAAUAGAAUAUUAAAACACUAUAUUUUCAAAUCCCAGAACCUUAUGUAGGAUGUAUACUAAAAAAGGUCAUAUUUUUGUCAUGAUUUUUAGAUUUUCCCUUCUCUAUUAUGAAGGGAUAAAAAUAGAUAUAAAAAAAUAUAAUGUAAGGUCAAGUAAUUAAUUGAAUGAGCUAAAGAGACAAACAUAUUUUAUGCAUACAUCUAAGAAACAUUAAUUUAAUAAUAAUUAUGAUUUUAAGAAUAGUUUCAAAUUAACAAGCAUGAAGUUUUUUCACACUAUAAAGCUACCAAAUGAUUCUUAUUUCUAGAUUCAUAAAAGUAAAAAUAUGGUUAAAGUUUAUAUGUUUAUUUAUCCUAUGGUUAUGUUUUUUUCCAUAUUAAUUUCUAUAGCAAAUAGCGUGUUCCUCAUGUGCCGAACUAACGAGGAUUGUCGAAAUCUUCUGUGUCUUGAUGCUGAUCAUAGUCCAGCCUGUGGGUUUCCAUUUCAUGUGACCGGAUCUGAGGGAUUUGGAGUUUGUGGAUGUCGUUAUGAGAAGGUCCCAAGUACAUUGCACAAAAUUAGUGGCUUGUGAAUGUAUACUUAUGUAUAAAACAGUAAAAUUUAAUUAAAAUAAAAAUAAAAUUAUGUUGUUACUAUCUCGAGUGGAUUAGUUUUGUAGUUAUGCACGGAUGACAUGUAAUUUACCAAAAUAUUAUGUUGUUGCUCUUA